AAAGACAAUAGAAAGGCAGCUUAUUUUACAGGUAAGUCUCAAGUUCCAUGGUCGGGAUGAUUAAAAAUGAAAGAGAAAAUAUGAUCAUGAUCUUAUGAAAACAAAAUCAUCUAUCCUUGGAUUUGACAGGAACUCCUUUGUACAUUUGCACACGAUCCUUCAAUGCAUCUCGCCUCGGCCGAGCCACCUUAUUGUUAGGAUCAAAAAGUAGCACUUCUUCAAAUGCCUUGAGGGCAGAUUUCAAAUCUUUUUUCUUCUCAUAUGCAUCACCAAGGUUGUUCCAAGCUGUGACAUAACCAGGUUGAAGCUUCACUGCUGUUUCAAACUGGGCAAUUCCUUUGUCAAGUUUACCAUCACGAACAUAAUUCACACCCAGGGCAUUGUAAACCUGCACGGUUAUUUGACCGGUCGAAAACCAUACUAUCGUCA
Molecule: unclassified non-coding RNA, 429 nt
Filed under: Hevea brasiliensis (rubber tree)
Lineage: Eukaryota; Viridiplantae; Streptophyta; Magnoliopsida; Malpighiales; Euphorbiaceae
Source: RNAcentral